AACGAACGCUGGCGGCAUGCCUAAUACAUGCAAGUUGAGCGCUGAAGGUUGGUACUUGUACCGACUGGAUGAGCAGCGAACGGGUGAGUAACGCGUGGGGAAUCUGCCUUUGAGCGGGGGACAACAUUUGGAAACGAAUGCUAAUACCGCAUAAAAACUUUAAACACAAGUUUUAAGUUUGAAAGAUGCAAUUGCAUCACUCAAAGAUGAUCCCGCGUUGUAUUAGCUAGUUGGUGAGGUAAAGGCUCACCAAGGCGAUGAUACAUAGCCGACCUGAGAGGGUGAUCGGCCACAUUGGGACUGAGACACGGCCCAAACUCCUACGGGAGGCAGCAGUAGGGAAUCUUCGGCAAUGGACGAAAGUCUGACCGAGCAACGCCGCGUGAGUGAAGAAGGUUUUCGGAUCGUAAAACUCUGUUGGUAGAGAAGAACGUUGGUGAGAGUGGAAAGCUCAUCAAGUGACGGUAACUACCCAGAAAGGGACGGCUAACUACGUG
This 497-nucleotide ribosomal RNA is filed under the name uncultured bacterium. Its description in RNAcentral is "partial 16S ribosomal RNA". It matches the Rfam family "Bacterial small subunit ribosomal RNA", at positions 29 to 507 of the family's 1533-position model. The record is from RNAcentral.